AUGUCCAGCUUGCCGGCGAAGCGGCCGGCGACGGUGUGGAGCAGGAGCUCGCGCUGGUCGCGCACGGAGACGUCGCAGACGGAGCCCGUGACGCGGAAUCCCCUGGCCUCCCACUCCUUCAAGCGCUCGCCGAGCUCGGCUUCCUUCCGGGAGCACGUGUGCACGGCGGCCCCGAGCGCCGCCAGCUCCUCCACCACCGAGCGCCUGUACAUCAAGCGCAGAAAACCAUCUGAAGCCGGGACGAGAUCUGAAAAGAAAGGGGCGCGGAGGGGUGCGUACGUACCCGAUGCCGCGGGUGCCGCCGGUGACGAGCGCCGUCCUGCCGUGGAGGGACCACCUCCCCGCACUGGAGCCGAUGAUGUCGUCUACCGCGGCCAUCUCCUCCUCGUAGAGCCGAGCUGA
RNAcentral lists this ribosomal RNA (402 nucleotides) under Triticum aestivum (bread wheat). Its description in RNAcentral is "partial small subunit ribosomal RNA". The record is from RNAcentral. Lineage: Eukaryota; Viridiplantae; Streptophyta; Magnoliopsida; Poales; Poaceae.